Molecule: ribosomal RNA, 460 nt
Filed under: uncultured Treponema sp.
Lineage: Bacteria; Pseudomonadati; Spirochaetota; Spirochaetia; Treponematales; Treponemataceae
Description: bacterial SSU rRNA
Rfam family: Bacterial small subunit ribosomal RNA
Source: RNAcentral
ACGGGAGGCAGCAGUAGGGAAUCUUCCACAAUGGACGCAAGUCUGACGGAGCGACGCCGCGUGGAUGAUGAAGGUCGGAAGAUUGUAAAAUCCUUUUAUAACUGAGGAAUAAGCAGUGUGAGAGAAACGCAUUGUGGUGACUGUAGGUUAUGAAUAAGCAACGGCUAAUUACGUGCCAGCAGCCGCGGUAACACGUAAGUUGCGAGCGUUGUUCGGAAUUAUUGGGCGUAAAGGGCGUGUAGGCGGUUUUGCAAGCUUGAUGUGAAAGGCAGGUGCUUAACUCCUGGACUGCGCUGAGAACUGCAUGACUAGAGUCACUGAGGGGCAAUCAGAAUUCCUGGUGUAGGGGUGAAAUCUGUAGAUAUCAGGAAGAAUACCAAUGGCGAAGGCAGGUUACCAGCAGAUGACUGACGCUGAGGUGCGAAGGUGCGGGGAGCAAACAGGAUUAGAUCCCCUGGUA